RNAcentral lists this ribosomal RNA (205 nucleotides) under uncultured bacterium. Its description in RNAcentral is "partial 16S ribosomal RNA". It matches the Rfam family "Bacterial small subunit ribosomal RNA", at positions 568 to 774 of the family's 1533-position model. The record is from RNAcentral.
UGCGUAGGCGGGCAGAUAAGUCAGUGGUGAAAUCUCUAGGCUUAACCUAGAAACUGCCGUUGAUACUAUUUGUCUUGAAUAUCAUGGAGGUAAGCGGAAUAUGUCAUGUAGCGGUGAAAUGCUUAGAUAUGACAUAGAACACCGAUAGCGAAGGCAGCUACUACAUGUUCAUUGACGCUGAGCACGAAAGCGUGGGGAGCAAACA